CCACUAGAUUUCGGGGGCGGCGUCCCCGGCGAGAUGCCGGGGGGAGUCUGCCGUCCCCCAACGCCGAGCCGUCCUCAAAAGAGUCGGGCUCGAGGGUUGAAAUGACGCUCGAACAGGCAUGCCCGCCAGAAUGCUGGCGGGCGCAAUGUGCGUUCAAAGAUUCGAUGAUUCACUGAAUUCUGCAAUUCACAUUACUUAUCGCAUUUCGCUGCGUUCUUCAUCGAUGCCGAAUACGUAAC
Molecule: unclassified non-coding RNA, 239 nt
Filed under: uncultured Plectosphaerellaceae
Lineage: Eukaryota; Fungi; Ascomycota; Sordariomycetes; Glomerellales; Plectosphaerellaceae
Description: sequence contains ITS1
Source: RNAcentral